This 344-nucleotide ribosomal RNA is filed under the name Neolamprologus meeli. Its description in RNAcentral is "partial 28S ribosomal RNA". The record is from RNAcentral. Lineage: Eukaryota; Metazoa; Chordata; Actinopteri; Cichliformes; Cichlidae.
CUGGGUCGGUCGGGCUGGGGUGCGAAGCGGGCUGGCUCGCGCCGCGGCUGGGGAGCAGUCGCUCCGUCGCCCUCCUCUCUCCGCCGCCGGAAGCCGGUGCGCGGCCGCCUCGCGGGGCUCGCGUCUGCGGCGCCUCGUGCGUCGUCGGCGUGGGUUUUCGCGGGCGGUGUCCGCCGCCGUGUGGAAGGCGGGCCGGCGGGGGGAUGUGGUCGGCGGUGGCUGGCGGCGACUCUGGACGCGCGCCGGGCCCUUCUCGCGGAUCACCUCAGCUGCGGUGCCCGUCGGGGUCCCCUUCGCGGGGGUUCCCCGGCGGGUCGCCCUGUGGCGCCUAGCAGCUGACUUAG